Lontra canadensis (Northern American river otter) is the source of this 287-nucleotide long non-coding RNA. RefSeq lists it as uncharacterized. The transcript has 2 exons. The record is from RefSeq and is a predicted model, not a curated record. Lineage: Eukaryota; Metazoa; Chordata; Mammalia; Carnivora; Mustelidae.
CACCCAGGACCUAUGGGGGGACCCUACCCACCUCCUCAGGGGUACCCCUAUCAAGGAUACCCACAGUAUGGCUGGCAAGGCGGACCUCAGGAGCCUCCUAAAACCACAGUGUACGUGAUGGAACGGGAAAGGAAGAUGGACACCGGGUGUCAGGCAGCCCUGGCCGCAUGCUGGGCCACCCUCUGCUGCUGCUGCCUCCUGGACACCUUGGACUGAGCGGCCGGGCCCCAAGUGCUCCCUCCGGGCCCGCUGCCUUCUGUUACUGCAAUAAACAAUUAAUGCUGGAC